This 493-nucleotide ribosomal RNA is filed under the name uncultured bacterium. Its description in RNAcentral is "partial 16S rRNA". The record is from RNAcentral.
GCACGUAGUUAGCCGGGGCUUCUUCUGGAGGUACCGUCACCCUCUGGGCUAUUAACCCGAGUGGCUUCGUCCCUCCUGAAAGCGGUUUACAACCCGAAGGCCUUCUUCCCGCACGCGGCGUCGCUGCGUCAGGCUUUCGCCCAUUGCGCAAGAUUCCCUACUGCUGCCUCCCGUAGGAGUCUGGGCCGUGUCUCAGUCCCAGUGUGGCUGAUCGUCCUCUCAGACCAGCUACGGAUCGUCGCCUUGGUGAGCCGUUACCCCACCAACAAGCUAAUCCGCCGCGAGCUCCUCCUCGGCCGGAGGCCGAAGCUACCUUUUCUCACGAGCCCGAAAGCUCGAGAGGCCAUCCGGUAUUAAUCCGGGUUUCCCCGGGCUAUCCCGGUGCCGAGGGCAGAUUACUCACGUGCUACUCACCCGUUCGCCGCUGUCCCCAGAGCCGAAGCUCUGGUUCUCGCUCGACUUGCAUGUAUUAAGCGCGCCGCCAGCGUUCGUC